CUUUGGUAUUUGAAUAAUAACUUAAGGUUCCAUUGGUGUUCAAUUUAACUCAAUUUUAUCAAUUAAUUCAUGAACUGUUUCUUUGAAUGAAUCAAUACAUGAUUCUGACGUCAAUAAUGUACAGCUGAUUUGCUACAUUAUAUUAUUUUCUUCAUUUCAUGUCUCAUUGAUUUUUCUGAAUGUCAGUUAAGCAGAACGGUGAAGUAGUUUUUACUUGGUAUGUCAUUUACAUACACCUCCUGCUACAGAAAUAACGUCUAUACAAACAUAACUAGAUACUUGUUAUGAUGAUAAAAUGGUAUAGUUACUAGUACUGUAUAUUUGAGCAAACUGUAAGCAACUAUUAUAGAUUUAUAUGGAGUUAACCGUUUCGGAAGAGUAUUUAACAACAUUCUGCAGAGUUAAUAGUUUGUCAGUUGGUACUGAUGAUUCACUAUGGAUAGGAUCGGGGAAAGUACACAAAGGUUUAUUUGCUAAUUUUUUUGCCACGUCAAAGGCUUUACAGAAAGUGAAAUUGAAGGGGAACAAGAUAAAGGUCACAGAUGGAUUUAACAUUGAAGUGAAGGAAACUGCUAUACAGUCAUUCCCAAAAAAUGGGUACAAUUCGAAUGUAGACACUGUUAAAAAAUAAAUUUCAACUGAGCAGAGAGAGAGUGUUGUUUUCUUC
This 667-nucleotide long non-coding RNA is filed under the name Mytilus galloprovincialis (Mediterranean mussel). The record is from RNAcentral. Lineage: Eukaryota; Metazoa; Mollusca; Bivalvia; Mytilida; Mytilidae.